Molecule: long non-coding RNA, 315 nt
Filed under: Homo sapiens (human)
Lineage: Eukaryota; Metazoa; Chordata; Mammalia; Primates; Hominidae
Description: non-protein coding lnc-FBXO10-2:1
Source: RNAcentral
GCUGGGCAUGGUGGUGCACGCCUGUAAUCCCAGCUAUUCGGGAGGCUGAGGCAGGAGGAUUGCUUGAACUGGAGGUUGCAGUGAGCUGAGAUUGUGCCACUGCACUCCAGCCUGGGUAACAGAGUGAGACUCUGCCUGAAAAAAAAAAAAAAGUUUCUUGAUCUGUCAGGGGUAAAAGACAUGUUUAAAAGUUGUUUAUGCUACACAUCAGUUGGGAUUGGAAAGAAAAGAAAACUUUUUUUUUUUUUUGAGAUAGAGUUUUGCUCUUGUUGCCCAGACUGGAGUACAGUGGUGCGAUCUUGGCUCACUGCAACC